CCUACGGGGGGCUGCAGUAGGGAAUCUUCGGCAAUGGGGGCAACCCUGACCGAGCAACGCCGCGUGAGUGAAGAAGGUUUUCGGAUCGUAAAGCUCUGUUGUAAGUCAAGAACGAGUGUGAGAGUGGAAAGUUCACACUGUGACGGUAGCUUACCAGAAAGGGACGGCUAACUACGUGCCAGCAGCCGCGGUAAUACGUAGGUCCCGAGCGUUGUCCGGAUUUAUUGGGCGUAAAGCGAGCGCAGGCGGUUUGAUAAGUCUGAAGUUAAAGGCUGUGGCUCAACCAUAGUUCGCUUUGGAAACUGUCAAACUUGAGUGCAGAAGGGGAGAGUGGAAUUCCAUGUGUAGCGGUGAAAUGCGUAGAUAUAUGGAGGAACACCGGUGGCGAAAGCGGCUCUCUGGUCUGUAACUGACGCUGAGGCUCGAAAGCGUGGGGAGCUAACAGGAUUAGAUACCCCAGUAGUC
RNAcentral lists this ribosomal RNA (465 nucleotides) under uncultured bacterium. RNAcentral's name for it is "partial 16S ribosomal RNA". It matches the Rfam family "Bacterial small subunit ribosomal RNA", at positions 338 to 795 of the family's 1533-position model. The record is from RNAcentral.